RNAcentral lists this transfer RNA (54 nucleotides) under Angiopteris evecta. RNAcentral's name for it is "partial tRNA-Gly". It matches the Rfam family "tRNA", at positions 1 to 54 of the family's 71-position model. From Rfam's summary of the family: Transfer RNA (tRNA) molecules are approximately 80 nucleotides in length. Their secondary structure includes four short double-helical elements and three loops (D, anti-codon, and T loops). Further hydrogen bonds mediate the characteristic L-shaped molecular structure. tRNAs have two regions of fundamental functional importance: the anti-codon, which is responsible for specific mRNA codon recognition, and the 3' end, to which the tRNAs corresponding amino acid is attached (by aminoacyl-tRNA synthetases). tRNAs cope with the degeneracy of the genetic code in two manners: having more than one tRNA (with a specific anti-codon) for a particular amino acid; and 'wobble' base-pairing, i.e. permitting non-standard base-pairing at the 3rd anti-codon position. The record is from RNAcentral. RNAcentral also lists the same sequence under 3 other names. Lineage: Eukaryota; Viridiplantae; Streptophyta; Polypodiopsida; Marattiales; Marattiaceae.
GCGGGUAUAGUUUAGUGGUAAAACCUUAGCCUUCCAAGCUAGUGAUGCGGGUUC